RNAcentral lists this ribosomal RNA (301 nucleotides) under uncultured bacterium. RNAcentral describes it as "partial 16S ribosomal RNA". It matches the Rfam family "Bacterial small subunit ribosomal RNA", at positions 509 to 807 of the family's 1533-position model. The record is from RNAcentral.
CAGCCGCCGCGGUAAUACGUAGGGUGCAAGCGUUAAUCGGAAUUACUGGGCGUAAAGCGUGCGCAGGCGGUUAUAUAAGAAAGAUGUGAAAUCCCCGGGCUCAACCUGGGAACUGCAUUUGUGACUGUAUAGCUAGAGUACGGCAGAGGGGGAUGGAAUUCCGCGUGUAGCAGUGAAAUGCGUAGAUAUGCGGAGGAACACCGAUGGCGAAGGCAAUCCCCUGGGCCUGUACUGACGCUCAUGCACGAAAGCGUGGGGAGCAAACAGGAUUAGAUACCCCAGUAGUCCCUGUCUCUUAUAC